RNAcentral lists this long non-coding RNA (350 nucleotides) under Lactuca sativa (garden lettuce). RNAcentral's name for it is "long non-coding RNA (LSAT_LNC002800)". The record is from RNAcentral. Lineage: Eukaryota; Viridiplantae; Streptophyta; Magnoliopsida; Asterales; Asteraceae.
AGACAAAUCCUUCAACUAAUGACAUACCUAAUGGGGGCACUGAAAUAACUGAGAAUAGUGAAGAGAAUGUCACAGAUUCAAUGAAUCAAGUCAUGGAUGAUUCCAAUAAAGAUGCUUCAAAUGAUUUAGCAAAACCAACAGAAGAUGUAGAUGGAAAGAUUUCAAAUGAUUUAGCAAAACCAACAGAAGAUGUGGAUGGAAUGAUUUCAAAUGAUUUAGCAAAACCAACCGAAGAUGUAGAUGGAAAGAUUGAUGUAAACAUUUCAAGUGAUUUAGCAAAACCAACUGAAGAUAUGGAUGGAAAGAUUCCAAAACCAAUUGAAGAUGUAGAGGGAAAGGUUGAUGUAAAG